GCAAGGUAACACACCGUCUCACAAAGUGGCUGUUGUAUGUUCUUUAAAGAUAUGUUAAUCAUAUCACAGCCAGCUUUGAUGGGCGGAGUUUCCUCAG
Molecule: microRNA precursor, 97 nt
Filed under: Rhodnius prolixus
Lineage: Eukaryota; Metazoa; Arthropoda; Insecta; Hemiptera; Reduviidae
Description: microRNA miR-2c precursor
Rfam family: mir-2 microRNA precursor family (bases 15-88)
About the family: The miRNAs are transcribed as ~70nt precursors (modelled here) and subsequently processed by the Dicer enzyme to give a ~22nt product. In this case the mature sequence comes from the 3' arm of the precursor.
Source: RNAcentral